UCCCUGGUGGUCCAGAGGUUAGGACUUGGAACUGUCACUGCUGUGGCCCAGGUUAAAUCCCUGGUCAGGGAA
RNAcentral lists this transfer RNA (72 nucleotides) under Tursiops truncatus (common bottlenose dolphin). RNAcentral's name for it is "tRNA-Asp (GTC) (tRNA-Asp-GTC-19-1)". It matches the Rfam family "tRNA". Rfam says of the family: Transfer RNA (tRNA) molecules are approximately 80 nucleotides in length. Their secondary structure includes four short double-helical elements and three loops (D, anti-codon, and T loops). Lineage: Eukaryota; Metazoa; Chordata; Mammalia; Artiodactyla; Delphinidae. RNAcentral also lists the same sequence under 7 other names. The record is from Rfam by way of RNAcentral.